Molecule: non-coding RNA, 7275 nt
Organism: Lolium perenne
Lineage: Eukaryota; Viridiplantae; Streptophyta; Magnoliopsida; Poales; Poaceae
Source: RefSeq, a predicted model, not a curated record
AGUCUGCCGGUUAUAUUUCAUAGAUAGAUUAAAUCUGGUGGUAGCGUCUGCUUUGCCUUCCUAUAACCUAGCGGUGGCCCCCUCCAUGUGUCAGCGCUUGUCAUCCUCGGUUCGGUCGUGGGUACAUGGUAGGUUCUAGAUGGGUCACCGUUUGAAUGAUCUUUCUCGACUUUUCCGUGUAUGAUCGUUGUGCAUCUCCUGUCUUUUCACGCCCCGUCUACUCCGGCGCCACCACGAGCCACCGCCGUUUUCUCUCCCCUUGACUCUCAGACCCUGCUCUGCUCUUCUUCAUACCUCGAUCCCCUUCUCGCGAUCCAGUCCCCUCGCCGUGGCACGGCACGGUGGCAAGCGGUACCAGCCGGCUCGUGGACAAGAGCGGUCCCGGUAACCGGCGAAGGAACAUGGGAUGCCUCGACUGCUUUGCAUCCAAAGCUGGAGAUGGAUACGGAGGAGAAGCAGGAGGAGGGGCAUUAACCGGUGGAUAUUGAGGAAGUCAGAUGGACGCCGAGACCAAGGGGGGGCGGACAGCAGGAGCACGAGGUGCCCGGCGGUCGCGGCGGCCGCCUUAACAGCUGAGCUCCCGAAGUUCCGAGGGAUACGUCGCGAUGGGAAGCUCCGCCAGACCUGGCGGACAAGGCCUGGAUCGACACCGGCAAGCCGCUCCAGGCAAGACUCCUCUACCUCAAGAAGAAGGGGCACCGGAAGGCCGCUGUCAGCGCAGGUAAGAUCUCUCUCUCUCCCUGCCUUAGAGGUCCGGGUGCAGGUCCGUCGAAAUCGGCGAGGGAGGGGCCUUCGGCACAGCUGCCGUUGGACGCAUCUUCUCCAUCGAAGUCAGAGAGACGUCAGUCGUCAAUGACGCAAGGGUACCUGAUGCGACGUCGCUGAUGAUUGCCACAGUUGUGCCUCCGCUCCUCCUUACACCACCAGAACGUACGCGAGCGCGUGAGCCAGGGCCAAUGCUAUUUGGGCUUUUUGCACGGUGAGAUUUCUGUUCUGGAGUCUGGACAGUGGUAGUGAAUCCCGAAUCCCCUCUCCUCCAUGGACCUCCAUCUCCAAAUAAAACAUUGGCAGUCUGCUUUUGUACGUUCAAUGGCAACUCUGACUAGCUCCGCAUCUGCUAAUUUAUUUCUCCCCAAUUGAUUCUCGCCUAUUUUUACAGCUCUGUACCGCGCCCACUUACGUUUGAGGUUUGGGUGGUUUUAUUUUUACAAGGCUUUAGCGGUAUAUCUUAUAGCCAUGGAUUUUUUCAAAGCUCUAACAGUAUAUAUCUCUUUCCCUCUACUGUUUCCGGCAUUUUAUUUUUCAGAGACAUGGAAAUGCAUCCUACAAAGAUAUUAGUAUAUAGUAAUCUCAUUCCUUUCUCUUGACUCCUUUCAGGUUUGGAUUAAUUGGGAAAUUCUGAAUUUCGUAACUGAGCCGAAUUUAUAAAAUAAUUAAAUUAUGUAUGGUCCAUCCCACUCCAUUGUCUCCACUUAUCCGUUCCCUUUUAUAUUACACAAAAGUAGUUUCUGAUGUUUACUUUGUUUAUUGUAAGCAUGUAGGAAAUUACAUAACACCGCUCAGAGUUCAGUUUGAAGCUUAUUUGGAAGUGGUUUUCAUUGUCAAUGCACCCUUGGUAAUCUAUAAAGUCUAGCUUUAUUGAGUUCACUUCACUACAACUUAAUAUAUCAUAUCUUCUUACUUUAUGUAUACUCACUGUGUUGUUAUUACUGUAAUGGUGAUUCUUUCAUCCGAGGUUUGAACCAGUUUGGUCCGUCUUCGAAGUCUGUUCAUGUUUUCUCAUUCAGAACAUCAGGGUAUAUAGCAUCAUGUGUCAUGGAUGUGAAGCUUACAGAUGGUUGCUUAUUUUAUGGCCUUCUGCCUAUAGUAUAAUGCAAACGCAUGAGCUGCACACAAAGCUAUCUGAAUAAGUAUAAUUCGAUUGCCGCAACAAGGCAGCAGUGUUUGUCCAGUCGUGCACCGGGUGCUUGACAUAUGCAAUUUAGUCAGUAUUAUUCGUUGCCCUUCAUCAUGGAGAAAAAUUAGAAAUACAUCAAUUGCUCUCCUUACUUUAAUUAUUGAGCUCCUGACUUAAUUUUCCUUGGUCAGUGCUGCUCGCGUCUUUGAUUUUGGGGGCCAACCUACCUACUCCUUGCCCUGAGAAUGUCGUUGGCGGUGCGCUGCUUUUGGGCAUGGCGCCGGUAAGAGAUACCCACGAAAUUGCAGAUUUCCUCAUAUUCAUGAAUCUUUAUUUAGCAUGAAUUGGGUUCUGUGUGCAGGUAUUCCUAUCCUCAUCCAAGCUUAUGUUUUCUUCCAUUUCUCUUUUAGAUUUUGUUCAAAUAUAACUUGGUACUACUAGCUAACGACCAGUUUGUUCUAAUUUGGUACAUUGAAAUCGCCAUGUGUUGAUCAUUGAUAUGUGGUGAAGGUUGUCGUUUAUAACAUUUGUUGACUUCAAAAUCAAAGAAAGCCUUGCUGAUUCUGUUCAUUUGAUGCUGCUAAUUACUCCCUCAUAUAUGAACUGGUAUGAAUUUGAAAAAGAGAACUGGUAUGAAUGGAAUGCACGACAAUUGGGCUUGUGACAUUCAUGAUUUGUCUGCAGUUCUAAGAAACUCAAUUUGCUCAGCUGACUUGUGAUGGAAAUUUCUCCUGUUUGUUGGUACAUAAUUCACUGGUGUACUGCUGUUAUGGAUGGUUAGGUGAGUGUCCUUUUUAUGUUUAAAUAAUGACGGUACUGCAAUAUUGAAACAACUCUUCUAAAUGCAAGUGUUUUUUUUUUGUCUCUCGGACAUGCUCACUCUAUCUGUUAGGCAACAUAUGGCUUUAUUGAUCUUAGAUACUUAUGCACUAUAACAUAUUUUGCCAUGUUAAAGCUGGCAUAUAUAAUCUCAAAUGAUCCCUUUUGUCAAAGGUAUGGUUGGCGCAUUUCCGUGCAGUUCAAUUUCCUGUACAAUCCUUUGAUUAUUCUAAUGUCCACCUUUGAGUUUGUACUGAAGUUAAUUCGAAGUGUUUAUCUUAUUCUCAAGAGCUCGAAACCUAAAUGAAUCCAGUCAGUGUACACAUUUUAUUGGGAAGCCACUACAACAUUCCACUUUGGAGCAAUUGGAAAGAUCUUUGAUAGACCUUAGGUAUUAUAACCGGUUAACUGGUUUUUUUUUACUCUUGGUUCAAGUCUUUGGUACCCUGCAUCUUUACAAGGACAAAAAUUAGGCCAGCGAUGUAUUUGAAGGGCAUAUAGUUACAUAGGAACCCUGCACACAAACUAUAUUGCAACCUUUUCUUGACUUACCCUUUAAUAACGAACAUGAUAGUACCCAAGUUAGAUACAUCAAGGUACCAUAAGAAGAGAAUUUUGAGCUGUACCAAGCAUUGAUAAAUCCUAUCAUAUCAUUCUAAUUCAAUGUUUAGUGCAGCCAAUUUUUUCCGAAUCACCACACAAAGAGGUACUAAAAUAUGAGCUAUGUGCUUUUGCUUUGCUAAUAAGGCAUCACAAAUCUCUCUAACCACAAAGAUAAUCACUCAACUCCAGAAUUUAAAACAGAGAUAGUUUUUUCAUUCCACUCAGCUCAUAUAUGAGGCCAGCAACAAGGGUGGAUGUUCCACAUCCUGAGCAUCAAUAGUCAGGCAAAUUUGAGCAGGCUGCUAAAAGUUCGUUAUUUUGUUACUGUAUAUUGUUCCUUACCUUAUCUCAUCUAAAGGAGAUGUAUUUUCUUUCUAUAUAGAAGAAUACAUGUAUUGUGCCUAGCUAUGGCUAUGUACUCAAAUGUUAGUUGUGUUCCCACAUCAUUUGUCAAGCUUGAAUAGCAGUGAACUUUUUCAAUUGAAAAUCAGUGCAUGUAGAUUGUUGAGUAGAGGUACUUCCACGAUGCAAAACAAAUGCACAUGUGGUAGAUAUGGGAUCCAAACUGAAGAUAAGUUUCAUGCCAUUGUCUCCUGUGAUGAUUCCUGAGAGAUGGUUGAACCAGCAUAGAAAUUUAGAUUCUGUUCGAUUCUCCUAUACUUUGUUACAUGUGGUUGCCGUGACUUCUUAUGUUAUGCGGCUGAUGUGCUAAUGUUUUGGAGGAUUAGCAAUGUAGAAACAAUAUACUGUACAUUAAACGUUGAAUCUAUCUCUUCAUGCUGCUAGGUGUUUUUUUGUGCCAGUCAUUUCAAUACACUGCUGCGAUUUCAAAAUGUUAUCCAGCGAUAGAAGGCCAGCCAACAAAACUCUUGCAGCCUGUAUGUAGUAGCAAUGGUAUUCAUCCAUUGAGAACAAGCAAGUGCGUGCCCCUUUGCCCUAUGCCAGAGCGAUCCACGAUAGCCGCGUUGCGUGCAAGGGCUGGCGGUGCUUCGCUUGAUUUCCUUCUAUUGGCCCAAGUGUCAAGCUGCGGUUGGCUCCGUUAAGAUAGAAAAAAAUUAGAGCGCAUGGAGACGAAAAGGAGGUCGCGUCCUAGGACAGAAAACCUAUCCACAAAUUCGCUCGGGCGCUGCCGCCGCAUCUCGCCUUCUCCUCCCCUUGCGAUUCAGCUCUCCUCGCCGCACCUCUCCGUCGAUCUCCUCUACCCCAUCCCUCACAACUGCUUCUGGAGACACCGGCAUGGAUGUAGGUGGGGAGCGCCAUGGAUGGGGCCGAAACUCGUCGGACUCCGACGACAGAAGGGGCGGCGGGGACGAGCUCUGUAUCCAGGCCUUGGAGCGCAUCCUCCAGGACCAUCCUCUGGAUUACGACUCCCACAUCGAGGUACCCAUCCUAGAUUUUCGAUUCAGGGCAUGCUCUUUCUCAAGUGGACCUUUGUGGUGCUGGUUUUGCCACUGGAAUUUCUUGCUUGAUGUUUUACGUGUACUGCAUGACAUAUGCUCGAUGAAAUGCCUGUGAGAAGCACCACUGGCAUGAGGAAUUGGGGAUCGUCACAUAACCAAUUUAAUUAACUCACUGAUAGGGUAGAUGUAUCAUGUAUGUUCCUAAGCAUAGGUGUCCAAGACUAAAGACUUUGGCUCCUUUCUUGGCAUCUUCAAAUAUGGCCUUUACUAUCAUGGGGCUACUGAUUUAUUUAUUCUCCCAGUUCAAUCCAUACCGCAGAAACCGAAAGAUAUGCCACAUGUUGUAUCCAAUGGACGAAUCAUCACAGGGAGAAGUUCUUCGUUUGAAGCAAAAAUAUACAGUAUGCUCGGCUUCAUUGCAGGACAUAGUAUAGGAACUAUGUACAGUAUGAAGGAAUUGAGCUGCAAUGAGGCUUGAAGUGUAUCACAGAAAGAACUGUGGCAUACACUAACCGCACAAUGCUUCCUCAAGCUCUAGAGAAGAAGAGCUUGGACAUUAUGCAGAAACUUCUAUCUCGACAUGUUGAGAUUAUAGAAACAAUUGAUGAGGAGGAUACUUACGCACAUUAACAGAUUAAUGAUAGGAUUUUGAACACUGAUGACCUUGCAGGACUAAAGAAGUUUUCUGAUAGCGAGGAUCUGCAAUCUGAAUGGCAUAAUGCUAAAAGGAAUAACAAGAUGAAGUUAGUUUCCUUGAUAAGAGACAAGACUACCGACUACGGACAAAUACAACCCUUAAAGCCUUGUGGAAAUCUAAACUUCUCCCUAAGCUGAAAGUGUUCACUUGGUUACUUGUUCAUGACCGGCUAAACACCCGAGAUUUGAUGAACCGCAAGCAGUGACAAUUAGAAUCUGGCGAUGAGUGUGUUCUUUGCAUGUCACAUCACCUAGAAACCAGAGAUCAUUUGUUUUUUGAGUGCUCUUUUGCAAGUCAUUGUUGGAACCUAUUUUUAAUCGAAUUUUGCUUGCUAAUAAAAUGUUUACUGGCCCUUGUUUCAUGGAGGUAGUGGCUUGUGCAGCUUGGAAUAUUUGGAGAGUUCGAAAUGAUUUCAUAUUUCAAGAUCAGGCUUCUUCUUUUGGUCAAUGGAGAGUUGGUUUCUCAAGUGAUCUGAUGCUUCACCAAUUCAAAGUUAAAGGAGCUUUAGUUCAACCACUCAUUGACUGGUUGCUUCAUAUCUUUGUAUAAGUUUUCAUGUAUCUUCUUUUUCACUACUUCCCACCUUGAGGUAACCCCUAUUCUUCUGCACAAUGUGAUUUAUCUUAAUAUAAAAUUUACACCGUAGGGGCUUCCCCUAUGGUAAGGUUGUCGAAAAAAAGAGACAAGACCAGAUAUGUUGUCCUUACAUAACUACACAUGCAAUGUUUGAUGUGCAGGUAUAUUUUGUGCUAGAAAAUAUACGUGUUCUUUUAACUGUUGUUUAACUCAGUUCUUGUGAACUGGACACUUUAGAUAAAAUGAAACAUGAUUAUAAGAGGUAACUGCUGAAUAUCCUUGGAAUCGUUUACAUCAAACCAUUUACUUCAGCCAAGACAGAUGGAAAGUAUGAAUUUGUAGACAGUAAAGGGACUAUGCUAAUGUGUACCAUUGCAACCAUUUACAUAAGCAUUCAGCUUGAGUUCUUGAUACCUGUGUGAUCUUCCCAUAGCUUAUGAAGGGUAUACAUAUAGUGAUACUCUUUUUAGUUUAAUUCUACAUAUUGUUCUGAUUGAUCAUCGCUAAUGUAUAUUGCCUUCUAUUUCCAAAAUUUAUCAAUUCCAGUCUACAACCAUACCUUGCAUGGUAUAGACAAUCAGAUAAAUGCAUAGACUGUACCUGUGGGAUUUGUUGUGACCGGAACUAAUGGUGCAUUAGUAUCUUAUUGAAUUGGCAGCCAGCCACUCCAGCGGUCUGAGGAGAUGCUUGCUAUCCACAUGUCAGUAUACUGAAGUUGGAGUCUGCGGCUCAGUUUAGCCCAUGGCUUUGACGCAGCUUCGCUGAUGGCCUUGCUGAAUAUCUGAAUGAAGCCUCCUCUUCAAAAGGUUUGUUCGCCAGGUAUGUGCUAGAUGUGAACGUGGAGAGGGUGGAGGACAUUCCAGCGGCUACUCGAGGAGGUAUGAGACCUGCAGCACCGGCCCGCCUUGGCUGUGGGUGUAGUUCAGAUUGCAGAGAUAUUAUUCAAGUUAGAAAGAAAGGAUGGAGGCCAAGAGAGAUUGUGAUGGUUGCAAAAUAAGAAGAUUUACAAUGUGUUGCAACAUUAGGUGGAAUUAUUCAGCUUGGGCUUCAGGUAUAGGUGAAAACUGCAAUUUGUGAGAUGGAGUAGAGGAUCACGGGACGAAGUAAAAAAGGCACAAUAGGAGUGCAGUUGUCAAGUUACAUCCUUGUUGUGUUAUAUGUACCGACGAUGUACUAUAUCAACUCUUGACAUGUCCGAUACCAACUUUCUUAUUACACACUAUUGGUCGCACCUUGUCAACUUGCACAUGAGCACUGUGGAAUUUUUUGUAUUGCACUUUAUA